This 468-nucleotide ribosomal RNA is filed under the name uncultured bacterium. Its description in RNAcentral is "partial 16S ribosomal RNA". It matches the Rfam family "Bacterial small subunit ribosomal RNA", at positions 28 to 507 of the family's 1533-position model. The record is from RNAcentral.
GACGAACGCUGGCGGCGUGCUUAACACAUGCAAGUCGAACGGAAAGGCCCUGCUUUUGUGGGGUGCUCGAGUGGCGAACGGGUGAGUAACACGUGAGUAACCUGCCCUUGACUUUGGGAUAACUUCAGGAAACUGGGGCUAAUACCGGAUAGGAGCUCCUGCUGCAUGGUGGGGGUUGGAAAGUUUCGGCGGUUGGGGAUGGACUCGCGGCUUUUCAGCUUGUUGGUGGGGUAGUGGCUUACCAAGGCUUUGACGGGUAGCCGGCCUGAGAGGGUGACCGGCCACAUUGGGACUGAGAUACGGCCCAGACUCCUACGGGAGGCAGCAGUGGGGAAUAUUGCACAAUGGGCGGAAGCCUGAUGCAGCAACGCCGCGUGCGGGAUGACGGCCUUCGGGUUGUAAACCGCUUUCGCCUGUGACGAAGCGUGAGUGACGGCAAUGGGUAAAGAAGCACCGGCUAACUACGUG